ACGACGGACGACGGAAACGGAAUACAAAGGAUGGAUAGGCAAACUGGCAAACUUCAAUCUUGUGGUUUAGGUUAAGUUUAUGUCUUCUUGCUUUUAGAUAGCCAAAAAGUAUCAAAUGUAUGCACAUUUAGCACUGUUUAGCUUUUAACUCCAGUAAGUAGCAGGCCUUAAAUUGUUUGAAGUCUCAAGCAAUCUUAAAUCUUAGCCAACAUUAUGCUUUCACAGUUUAAAACCAUGCAAUUGUAAAUGUACCCAAUAAUAGUUGUACCCAAUAAUAGGUCUACCCAAUUAUACAGGCUGGCUGAGUUUGUACUGAAAUUUUACUAGGCCUAGAUUGAAAAGAAAGCUCAGGUGUUGGAAAUAUGGCUGUAGGUGUUCUGGUGAUGUGUAACAGAUUACUCUGCAGAUUCAAUUGGAUCCCUAAGAGCUUCCCUCGCAGCACACUUACUCACUCUAUGAGGCAAUUUCAUAGAUCUCCAAUUGUGAAUAGAUUCAAUUGGAUCCCUAAGAGCUUCCCUCGCAGCACACUUACUCACUCUAUGAGGCAAUUUCAUAGAUCUCCAAUUGUGAAUAGAUUCAAUUGGAUCCCUAAGAGCUUCCCUCGCAGCACACUUACUCACUCUAUGAGGCAAUUUCAUAGAUCUCCAAUUGUGAAUAGAUUCAAUUGGAUCCCUAAGAGCUUCCCUCGCAGCACACUUACUCACUCUAUGAGGCAAUUUCAUAGAUCUCCAAUUGUGAAUAGCAGACUUGAAGACUUUGGAAAACUGAUAGACCAAGGGAAGAAACGUAUAUCGAAGCUGAAAUCGAAAGAUAAUGUUCCACCUGACUAUCAUUUGAUUUACAAAGCAACAUGGGAGUUAACGUUCAGAAUUGGGUACCCAGUGCUUAUAUCCAUGGGUGCUGGCUUGUUGGGACUGGUUGUUUACAGACAUUACAAUAAAGACGAAUUAGAAAUGGGAAGGCCUGUAGGUAAGGGUAAUAUUAAAUUCAUGUAUCCCGAACAAGAACUUUGGGUCUUCUCCUUAGCGCUCGUAUCAUUAGUGGUUGCUGGCUCUUCACUGAUGUUAAAAUAUCCCUUCAGAAUUUACAAGCAUGCCUCAAAAAAGGAAUACAUAGGUGUUUAUUUAAAUCCUUUCCUCCCAAUUUUGAGACAAGUACAUUUCACAAGUGCUAACCCGACCAAGUUUAGAAACCCGUUCUAUGUGAUGGUGCAAGACAGUCAUUAUGUUCUAAGUGGUAACAGAAAAACAUUUUUCUUUAGUUACUUUUUUCGUGUUCCAAAAGACUUAACAGACAUGUUUCAUGAAUCCAAACCCACUAAUAAGGAUUAGUGCUUUGUUGUACCUUUCACUGAUUAAUUGUAAAUAAAUAUCAUUUUAGUGUG
Macrosteles quadrilineatus (aster leafhopper) is the source of this 1384-nucleotide RNA transcript. RefSeq lists it as uncharacterized. The record is from RefSeq and is a predicted model, not a curated record. The transcript is spliced from 2 exons. NCBI's taxonomy places the organism in Eukaryota, Metazoa, Arthropoda, Insecta, Hemiptera, Cicadellidae.